RNAcentral lists this transfer RNA (82 nucleotides) under Myroides odoratimimus. RNAcentral's name for it is "tRNA-Leu". It matches the Rfam family "tRNA". From Rfam's summary of the family: Transfer RNA (tRNA) molecules are approximately 80 nucleotides in length. Their secondary structure includes four short double-helical elements and three loops (D, anti-codon, and T loops). Lineage: Bacteria; Pseudomonadati; Bacteroidota; Flavobacteriia; Flavobacteriales; Flavobacteriaceae. The record is from RNAcentral.
GGUUAUGUGGUGGAAUUGGUAGACACGCUAGACUUAGGAUCUAGUUCUUAAAAGAGUGCAGGUUCGAGUCCUGCUAUAACUA